UAGCUGUCCGGCCUUUAAGGUUGGGUGGCGCAGUAACGCAUUAAGUUAUCCGCCUGGGGAGUACGGUCGCAAGAUUAAAACUCAAAGGAAUUGACGGGGGCUGCACAAGCGUGGAGCAUGUGGUUUAAUUCGAAGCAACGCGCAGAACCUUACCAGCGUUUGACAUCCUGAUCGCGGAUUAGAGAGAUCUUUUCCUUCAGUUCGGCUGGAUCAGUGACAGGUGCUGCAUGGCUGUCGUCAGCUCGUGUCGUGAGAUGUUGGGUUAAGUCCCGCAACGAGCGCAACCCUCGUCCUUAGUUGCCAUCAUUUAGUUGGGCACUCUAAGGAAACUGCCGGUGAUAAGCCGGAGGAAGGUGGGGAUGACGUCAAGUCCUCAUGGCCCUUACACGCUGGGCUACACACGUGCUACAAUGGCGGUGACAGUGGGCAGCAACCGGGCGACCGGUAGCUAAUCUCCAAAAACCGUCUCAGUUCGGAUUGUUCUCUGCAACUCGAGAGCAUGAAGGCGGAAUCGCUAGUAAUCGCGGAUCAGCAUGCCGCGGUGAAUACGUUCCCAGGCCUUGUACACACCGCCCGUCACACCAUGGGAGUUGGAUUCACUCGAAGGCGUUGAGCUAACCCGCAAGGGAGGCAGGCGACCACAGUGGGUUUAGCGACUGG
RNAcentral lists this ribosomal RNA (660 nucleotides) under Sphingomonas sp. T5-15. RNAcentral's name for it is "bacterial SSU rRNA". It matches the Rfam family "Bacterial small subunit ribosomal RNA", at positions 817 to 1478 of the family's 1533-position model. The record is from RNAcentral. Lineage: Bacteria; Pseudomonadati; Pseudomonadota; Alphaproteobacteria; Sphingomonadales; Sphingomonadaceae.